AGAGUUUGAUCAUGGCUCAGAUUGAACGCUGGCGGCAGGCCUAACACAUGCAAGUCGAGCGGUAGCACAGAGAGCUUGCUCUCGGGUGACGAGCGGCGGACGGGUGAGUAAUGUCUGGGAAACUGCCUGAUGGAGGGGGAUAACUACUGGAAACGGUAGCUAAUACCGCAUAACGUCGCAAGACCAAAGUGGGGGACCUUCGGGCCUCAUGCCAUCAGAUGUGCCCAGAUGGGAUUAGCUAGUAGGUGGGGUAAUGGCUCACCUAGGCGACGAUCCCUAGCUGGUCUGAGAGGAUGACCAGCCACACUGGAACUGAGACACGGUCCAGACUCCUACGGGAGGCAGCAGUGGGGAAUAUUGCACAAUGGGCGCAAGCCUGAUGCAGCCAUGCCGCGUGUGUGAAGAAGGCCUUCGGGUUGUAAAGCACUUUCAGCGGGGAGGAAGGCGNNCGAUUGACGUUACCCGCAGAAGAAGCACCGGCUAACUCCGUGCCAGCAGCCGCGGUAAUACGGAGGGUGCAAGCGUUAAUCGGAAUUACUGGGCGUAAAGCGCACGCAGGCGGUCUGUCAAGUCGGAUGUGAAAUCCCCGGGCUCAACCUGGGAACUGCAUUCGAAACUGGCAGGCUAGAGUCUUGUAGAGGGGGGUAGAAUUCCAGGUGUAGCGGUGAAAUGCGUAGAGAUCUGGAGGAAUACCGGUGGCGAAGGCGGCCCCCUGGACAAAGACUGACGCUCAGGUGCGAAAGCGUGGGGAGCAAACAGGAUUAGAUACCCUGGUAGUCCACGCCGUAAACGAUGUCGAUUUGGAGGUUGUGCCCUUGAGGCGUGGCUUCCGGAGCUAACGCGUUAAAUCGACCGCCUGGGGAGUACGGCCGCAAGGUUAAAACUCAAAUGAAUUGACGGGGGCCCGCACAAGCGGUGGAGCAUGUGGUUUAAUUCGAUGCAACGCGAAGAACCUUACCUGGUCUUGACAUCCACAGAACUUUCCAGAGAUGGAUUGGUGCCUUCGGGAACUGUGAGACAGGUGCUGCAUGGCUGUCGUCAGCUCGUGUUGUGAAAUGUUGGGUUAAGUCCCGCAACGAGCGCAACCCUUAUCCUUUGUUGCCAGCGGUUAGGCCGGGAACUCAAAGGAGACUGCCAGUGAUAAACUGGAGGAAGGUGGGGAUGACGUCAAGUCAUCAUGGCCCUUACGACCAGGGCUACACACGUGCUACAAUGGCAUAUACAAAGAGAAGCGACCUCGCGAGAGCAAGCGGACCUCAUAAAGUAUGUCGUAGUCCGGAUUGGAGUCUGCAACUCGACUCCAUGAAGUCGGAAUCGCUAGUAAUCGUAGAUCAGAAUGCUACGGUGAAUACGUUCCCGGGCCUUGUACACACCGCCCGUCACACCAUGGGAGUGGGUUGCAAAAGAAGUAGGUAGCUUAACCUUCGGGAGGGCGCUUACCACUUUGUGAUUCAUGACUGGGGUGAAGUCGUAACAAGGUAACCGUAGGGGAACCUGCGGUUGGAUCACCU
This 1511-nucleotide ribosomal RNA is filed under the name Klebsiella pneumoniae. Its description in RNAcentral is "bacterial SSU rRNA". It matches the Rfam family "Bacterial small subunit ribosomal RNA". The record is from RNAcentral. Lineage: Bacteria; Pseudomonadati; Pseudomonadota; Gammaproteobacteria; Enterobacterales; Enterobacteriaceae.